This 505-nucleotide ribosomal RNA is filed under the name uncultured bacterium. RNAcentral describes it as "bacterial SSU rRNA". It matches the Rfam family "Bacterial small subunit ribosomal RNA", at positions 18 to 518 of the family's 1533-position model. The record is from RNAcentral.
CCUGGCUCAGGAUGAACGCUGGCCGGCGUGCAUAACACAUCAAGUCGAACGAAGCAUAGGGAACGGAGCCUUCGGGCGAAGAGAACUAUGACUUAGUGGCGGACGGGUGAGUAACGCGUGAGCAACCUUCCUGCCUGUGAGGGAUAACACAGGGAAACUUGUGCUAAUACCGCAUGACGUAUGGAGAUCGCAUGGUCAUCAUACCAAAGAUAUAUUGCAGGCAGAUGGGCUCGCGUCUGAUUAGAUAGUUGGCAGGGUAACGGCCUACCAAGUCGACGAUCAGUAGCCGGACUGAGAGGUUGAACGGCCACAUGGAACUGAGAGACGGUCCAGACUCCGUACGGGAGGCAGCAGGUGGGGAAUAUUGGGCAAUGGGCGAAAGCCUCGACCCAGCGACGCCGCGUGAAGGGAAGAAGGUCUUCGGAUUGUAAACCUCUUCGGCAAGGAAGAAGAAAGUGACGGUACUUGCAGAAGAAGCCACGGCUAACUACGUGCCAGCCGCAGC